CGGCCUCNCAUGCAGNUGAACGCACAGGAAGCNCCGNUAGUUUUCUUACACCGNUAUUCUGCUGAGUUGCGAACGGGUUGAGNUAACGCGUANGUAACCUGCCUGGUAUCGGGGGAUAACUAUUGNAAACGAUAGCUAAUACCGUAUAANAACAUUUACUGCAUGGUANAUGUUUAAAAGGUGCAAGAGCAUCACUACCANAUGGACCUGCGUUGUAUUAGCUAGUUGGUGAGGUAACGGCUCACCAAGGCAACGAUACAUACCCGACCUGAGAGGGUGAUCGGCCACACUGGGACUGAGACACGGCCCAGACUCCUACGGGAGGCAGCAGUAUGGAAUCUUCGGCAAUGGGGGGAACCCUGACCGAGCAACGCCGCGUGAGUGAAGAAGGUUUUCGGAUCGUAAAGCUCUGUUGUUAAGGAANAACGUGUGUGANAGUGGAAAGUUCACACAGUGACGGUACUUAACCAGAAAGGGACGGCUAACUACGUGCCAGCAGCCGCGGUAAUACGUAGGUCCCGAGCGUUGUCCGGAUUUAUUGGGCGUAAAGCGAGCGCAGGCGGUUAGAUAAGUCUGAANUGAAAGGCAGUGGCUCAACCAUUGUAGGCUUUGGAAACUGUUUAACUUGANUGCAGAAGGGGAGAGUGGAAUUCCAUGUGUANCGGUGAAAUGCGUAGAUAUAUGGAGGAACACCGGUGGCGAAAGCGGCUCUCUGGUCUGUAACUGACGCUGAAGCUCGAAAGCNUGGGGAGCGAACAGGAUUANAUACCCUGGUAGUCCACNCCNUAAACGAUGAGUG
This 799-nucleotide ribosomal RNA is filed under the name Streptococcus sp. C419. RNAcentral's name for it is "partial 16S ribosomal RNA". It matches the Rfam family "Bacterial small subunit ribosomal RNA", at positions 43 to 815 of the family's 1533-position model. Lineage: Bacteria; Bacillati; Bacillota; Bacilli; Lactobacillales; Streptococcaceae. The record is from RNAcentral.